AGCCUACGGGACGCAGCAGUAGGGAAUCUUCCACAAUGGACGAAAGUCUGAUGGAGCAACGCCGCGUGAGUGAAGAAGGGUUUCGGCUCGUAAAGCUCUGUUGGUAGUGAAGAAAGAUAGAGGUAGUAACUGGCCUUUAUUUGACGGUAAUUACUUAGAAAGUCACGGCUAACUACGUGCCAGCAGCCGCGGUAAUACGUAGGUGGCAAGCGUUGUCCGGAUUUAUUGGGCGUAAAGCGAGCGCAGGCGGGUUAAAAA
RNAcentral lists this ribosomal RNA (258 nucleotides) under uncultured bacterium. Its description in RNAcentral is "partial 16S ribosomal RNA". It matches the Rfam family "Bacterial small subunit ribosomal RNA", at positions 335 to 586 of the family's 1533-position model. The record is from RNAcentral.